GGUCCCAUCGUCUAACGGUUAGGACGCGGCCCUUUCACGGCCGAAAUCGGGGUUCGAUCCCCCGUGGGAUCACAA
This 75-nucleotide transfer RNA is filed under the name Candidatus Collierbacteria bacterium CG10_big_fil_rev_8_21_14_0_10_44_9. RNAcentral describes it as "tRNA-Glu". It matches the Rfam family "tRNA". From Rfam's summary of the family: Transfer RNA (tRNA) molecules are approximately 80 nucleotides in length. Their secondary structure includes four short double-helical elements and three loops (D, anti-codon, and T loops). Lineage: Bacteria; Candidatus Collieribacteriota. The record is from RNAcentral.